RNAcentral lists this ribosomal RNA (492 nucleotides) under uncultured bacterium. RNAcentral describes it as "partial 16S ribosomal RNA". It matches the Rfam family "Bacterial small subunit ribosomal RNA", at positions 29 to 507 of the family's 1533-position model. The record is from RNAcentral.
AGUGAACGCUGGCGGUAGGCCUAACACAUGCAAGUCGAACGGCAGCACAGUAAGAGCUUGCUCUUACGGGUGGCGAGUGGCGGACGGGUGAGGAAUACAUCGGAAUCUACUUUUUCGUGGGGGAUAACGUAGGGAAACUUACGCUAAUACCGCAUACGACCUACGGGUGAAAGCAGGGGAUCUUCUGACCUUGCGCGGUUGAAUGAGCCGAUGUCGGAUUAGCUAGUUGGCGGGGUAAAGGCCCACCAAGUCGACGAUCCGUAGCUGGUCUGAGAGGAUGAUCAGCCACACUGGAACUGAGACACGGUCCAGACUCCUACGGGAGGCAGCAGUGGGGAAUAUUGGACAAAGGGCGCAAGCCUGAUCCAGCCAUACCGCGUGGGUGAAGGAGGCCUUCGGGUUGUAAAGCCCUUUUGUUGGGAAAGAAAAGCAGCAGGUUAAUACCCCGCUGUUCUGACGGUACCCAAAGAAUAAGCACCGGCUAACUUCGUG